This 220-nucleotide unclassified non-coding RNA is filed under the name plant metagenome. RNAcentral describes it as "partial contains small subunit ribosomal RNA, internal transcribed spacer 1, and 5.8S ribosomal RNA". The record is from RNAcentral.
UUUCCGUAGGUGAACCUGCGGAAGGAUCAUUACAGAGUUCAUGCCCUCACGGGUAGAUCUCCCACCCUUGAAUAUUUAUACCUUAGUUGCUUUGGCAGGCCGUGGAAACACCAUGGGCUCCGGCUUAUGCGUGCCUGCCAGAGGAAACAAACUCUGGUUUUAGUGAUGUCUGAGUACUAUAUAAUAGUUAAAACUUCCAACAACGGAUCUCUUGGUUCUG